Molecule: long non-coding RNA, 529 nt
Filed under: Panax ginseng (ginseng)
Lineage: Eukaryota; Viridiplantae; Streptophyta; Magnoliopsida; Apiales; Araliaceae
Description: long non-coding RNA (PGIN_LNC010380)
Source: RNAcentral
UCAUUUGUCUUUUCUUAUCCCUUUAGCCUCCUUCGUUAAUUAAAGUCAUGCAUUUCUCACGUACCAAUACCAUCUCUCUCUCUCACACACAAACACGACAACAUCAAUAUUACUACUAGUAUUUUCUUCAUAAUAGGGUAACUAAAACGUACGUGGAGGCUAGUGAUGCACAACAGGUCAGUCUGGUCUAAGUUUAUCAGGCUUUAACCGUUGAUCAGGUCAAAUCAGACCUUGACUUUUUAACUACAUGCCGGAUCAAGUUUUGAACAAAAAAAUGUGACUUGUUAAGGCCUACAGGCCAGGCCGAGCCAGACCUCAUUAGUCCCACGUAAGCCCAUUGCUCUUUGCUUAGAAUUUUAACUCAGCUUUUCUCCUCCAUUUAUUAAAAAAAGGCGGGGCAAAAAACCUUGUACUAUGUGGGACUAGCCAGGUUUAGCCAAACCUCCAUUUAUAGAAAGGCAGGCACAAAAUACAUUUUAUUAGACCAAGUGGGACAAUGCUAUGCUUAGCCAAACCCAACAAGCUCAAG